RNAcentral lists this ribosomal RNA (253 nucleotides) under uncultured bacterium. RNAcentral describes it as "partial 16S ribosomal RNA". It matches the Rfam family "Bacterial small subunit ribosomal RNA", at positions 524 to 776 of the family's 1533-position model. The record is from RNAcentral.
UACAGAGGGUGCAAGCGUUAAUCGGAAUUACUGGGCGUAAAGCGUGCGUAGACGGUUAUUUAAGUCAGGUGUGAAAGCCCCGGGCUCAACCUGGGAAUUGCGGUUGAAACUGGCGAACUAGAAUCUGGCAGAGGGGGGUGGAAUUCCACGUGUAGCAGUGAAAUGCGUAGAGAUGUGGAGGAACACCGAUGGCGAAGGCAGCCCCCUGGGCUGAGAUUGACGCUCAGGCACGAAAGCGUGGGGAGCAAACAGG